RNAcentral lists this ribosomal RNA (497 nucleotides) under uncultured bacterium. RNAcentral's name for it is "partial 16S ribosomal RNA". It matches the Rfam family "Bacterial small subunit ribosomal RNA", at positions 28 to 507 of the family's 1533-position model. The record is from RNAcentral.
GAUGAACGCUGGCGGCGUGCCUAAUACAUGCAAGUCGAGCGAACGGACGAGAAGCUUGCUUCUCUGAUGUUAGCGGCGGACGGGUGAGUAACACGUGGAUAACCUAUCUAUAAGACUGGGAUAACUUCGGGAAACCGGAGCUAAUACCGGAUAAUAUUUUGAACCGCAUGGUUCAAAAGUGAAAGACGGUCUUGCUGUCACUUAUAGAUGGAUCCGCGCUGCAUUAGCUAGUUGGUAAGGUAACGGCUUACCAAGGCAACGAUGCAUAGCCGACCUGAGAGGGUGAUCGGCCACACUGGAACUGAGACACGGUCCAGACUCCUACGGGAGGCAGCAGUAGGGAAUCUUCCGCAAUGGGCGAAAGCCUGACGGAGCAACGCCGCGAGAGUGAUGAAGGUCUUCGGAUCGUAAAACUCUGUUAUUAGGGAAGAACAUAUGUGUAAGUAACUGUGCACAUCUUGACGGUACCUAAUCAGAAAGCCACGGCUAAGUACGUG